RNAcentral lists this ribosomal RNA (402 nucleotides) under uncultured bacterium. Its description in RNAcentral is "bacterial SSU rRNA". It matches the Rfam family "Bacterial small subunit ribosomal RNA", at positions 355 to 774 of the family's 1533-position model. The record is from RNAcentral.
UGGGGAAUCUUGCACAAUGGGGGCAACCCUGAUGCAGCGACGCCGCGUGAGCGAUGAAGCCCUUCGGGGCGUAAAGCUCUUUCGACCGGAACGAUAAUGACGGUACCGGGAGAAGAAGCUGCGGCUAACUACGUGCCAGCAGCCGCGGUAAUACGUAGGCAGCAAGCGUUGUUCGGAGUUACUGGGCGUAAAGAGUGCGUAGGCGGUUUUCUAAGUUCGGGGUGAAAUCUCCCGGCUUAACUGGGAGGGUGCGCCGAAGACUGGGAAGCUGGAGUGUGGGAAAGGCAGGCGGAAUUCCUGGUGUAGCGGUGAAAUGCGUAGAUAUCAGGAGGAACACCGGCGGUGUAGACGGCUUGCUAGACCAUAACUGACGCUGAGGCACGAAAGCAUGGGUAGCAAACA